AACGAACGCUGGCGGCGCGUCUUAAGCAUGCAAGUCGGACGGCAGGGUGCCUUCGGGCAUCCGAGAGUGGCGAACGGGUGAGUAACACGUAAGUGAUCUGCCCUCCAGUUGGGGAUAGCCUGUGGAAACACAGGGUAAUACCGGAUGAGAUGACAAUGAUUGAACUAUGUCAUGAAAGUGGCUACGGCCACGCUGGGGGGAUGAGCUUGCGGCUCAUUAGCUAGGUUGGGGGUGUAACGGACCACCAAGGCGACGAUGAGUAGCCGGCCUGAGAGGGUGAACGGCCACAUUGGGACUGAGACACGGCCCAGACUCCUACGGGAGGCAGCAGCUAAGAAUAUUCCGCAAGUGGGGGAACCCUGACGGAGCGACGCCGCGUGAACGAUGAAGGCAGAGAUUGUUGUAAAGUUCCUUUUAGAUAUGAGGAAUAAGCAGUGUGAGAAGAAACGCACUGUGGUGACUGUAGUAUCAGAAUAAGGGGCGGCUAAUUACGUGCCAGCAGCCGC
This 506-nucleotide ribosomal RNA is filed under the name uncultured bacterium. RNAcentral's name for it is "bacterial SSU rRNA". It matches the Rfam family "Bacterial small subunit ribosomal RNA", at positions 29 to 518 of the family's 1533-position model. The record is from RNAcentral.